UUGUGCGUCAAUAGGGAAAGAACAAACUGGUCUUGGUAUCAUUCUGAUUGCAAGUACUAUUCUGUCUCCUCCUUUCAAUUCCUUUUGAAACCAAAUUCAGCUACUCCCACAUAAAACCGUACACCCCUUAAGAGUGACGUCAAGUGCUUGAAGUUCAUCCUUCUACUCAUCCAUCCUCAUUAGCCGCAACCACAAGAAAGAGACCAAGAAGAAUAACCUGUUAGCCUCUCUCAUCAUCAUCUUCCCAUGAGAUCGUAAGUGCUUUGAGGAGACAACAAGACACUAAGCACACUCUUUCCCUCCUCUCAUGAUUCGGCUGAGCACUAUUGAGAUAGAGGUGUAGGAUUUUUCCUAGUUCCAUGUUUCCCUCCAUUCAUCCGAUUUGAUAAGGAAUUCCUCUUGCAUGUUCAUGUCUUGCUUCUGAUCUAGGACUGCCAUCCGUUACAUGCAGAUUCUGGUUGGAGUUCAACACUUAUUCCCCUUUUGUUUGUGCACACCGUCAACCUAGUGGGAGAAAGUAAGAUAGCUUAGGAGUAAUCAUGUUCCUCCCACGAAGACCUAUUCGGUUUGGGAUUUCUUUCAUGGAGUGCAGUUUGAAUCCUUCCUCUUAAAGAAUAGAAAGAUGAAAGAACUUGCAUGUCAAUUGGCCUCUGCUUCUUUCGUGAUCGAAAUGUGAACCUUGGGCACCUCCAAAUAGAUGUGUGCUAACUUCUAAAAGUGUGGGCUGAUUGGUGAUGCUUUGAUAAAAAUAAAAUGUUAAAGACUCGAGGAGGACAGAAGAGCAUAUGAAGUCAUGAUUAUAUGGAUAUUUACUGUUUGGACUUUUGCUUUUGCUGUUCAUUUGACGGAUGACUGUAUUAAUUUGAGAAAUUUGGAUAAUUGUUGGAUUAUGAUUUUAUUGUUGAUUUAAGACUUUUAUGAUCAGCAAGUAUUUUGGAGGUAAAUUCUAGAAACAGUUUGUGAAAAUAAUU
Gastrolobium bilobum is the source of this 971-nucleotide long non-coding RNA. RefSeq lists it as uncharacterized. The transcript is spliced from 3 exons. NCBI's taxonomy places the organism in Eukaryota, Viridiplantae, Streptophyta, Magnoliopsida, Fabales, Fabaceae. The record is from RefSeq and is a predicted model, not a curated record.